CUCAGGACCCGCGCCCCCCGCCCCUACAGAGGCCCGAGCGAUGACUCUGGCUCCGAGCCUGGCACCCGGGAUGCGGAGCGAGCUCGGGGACCUGAGGGGUGAGGGCUGGCCCUGCCUUGCGCCGGCUCCUGUGGCGAGAGCAUCAGCCGCUUCAAGCCAGAGGGCAGGGGAGCCGGGAGAAGCAGAGCCCGAGGCGGUCUGAAGGUCAGUAGGCAGCACGGGCCCGGCCACCGGGAUGUGACUGGCUCAGGCAGGUGGUCACCCUGUUCUCUCCUCUGCAGCAGUGCCAACUGUCAGGGAACACGGCGGCCCAGCGAGGGCGGACCGGGCCAAGCCCUCGGCUGCUGUCACGGGGACUCUGCAGCUCCCACGGUUGCGACUGGCUUAGCCAAGAGAGAGGACAGGAGCCGGAGUAUCUGCAGCCCGUCUGGUCCGGUGCCUCGGCCCCUGACUGCAAGGACAGGAGCACGCCGUGUGGAUGCAAGGAGGCUGAGGACCCAUCUGUUCAGCCCCUCUGGCGAUAAGCCCUGGAACCCUGGGUUCCCAGAGCACCGCAGGAGGCACUGGACAGCGUGUGGCAAUCUGCUCACUGACCCUGAGCCCGCGUUCCCUCUGCCUGCGGACACACGGCCAUCCAGAGGCCACAUUUUCCAGUUCCCGUUGUGGCCACAUGGCUGAGCUCGCUGCAGAGGUGGUCGUGACAGGUAGCAGGGAGCGAGACAGGAACCGGGGCUCCUUCAUGACCUCAAGAAACACAAGGAGUGUCCCAGCGACCCAGGCCUCUGGGUCACUGGGUGAGACACACCCAGCUCCUCAGUUUCUACCACCGUGUGCGGUGAGUCUGCUCCUCACCCCCCGAGCCUCACAGAUCACGGUGUGGUCGGGAAAGCCCUGUGCAGGGGAGAUGCAGGUGAGGUCUGGUUUAGGAAAACAAGAAAAUGCAAAAUGCACAGUGGGCCCUGCCAUCCACAUGGCUUCCAAAGGCAAAACUGAGGGAAGGUAUUUAGUUAAAGGAAGGUAGAGUUUUUUGUUUUGGUUUUGGUCUUUUGUCUUUUUAAGGCUGCACCUGCGGCAUAUGGAGGUUCCCAGGCUAGGGGUCGAAUUGGAGCUACGGCCGCCAGCCUACACCACAGCCACAGCCAC
Sus scrofa (pig) is the source of this 1143-nucleotide non-coding RNA. NCBI's taxonomy places the organism in Eukaryota, Metazoa, Chordata, Mammalia, Artiodactyla, Suidae. The record is from RefSeq and is a predicted model, not a curated record.